CCUACGGGAGGCAGCAGUGAGGAAUAUUGGUCAAUGGGCGCAACCCUGAACCAGCCAAGUCGCGUGAGGGAUAACGGUCCUAUGGAUUGUAAACCUCUUUUGUCGGGGAGCAAGUCCCGCUACGUGUGGCGGGAAGGCGAGUACCCGAAGAAAAAGCAGCGGCUAACUCCGGUCCAGCAGCCGCGGUAAUACGGGGGAUGCGAGGGUUAUCCGGUUUUGUGGGGUUUAAAGGGUUCGUAGGCGGAAGGUUAAGUCAGCGGUAAAAUGUCGGUGCUCAACACCGGCCUGCCGUUGAAACUGGUCUUCUUGAGUGCACGAGAAGUAUGCGGAAUGCGUGGUGUAGCGGUGAAAUGCAUAGAUAUCAGGAAGAACUCCAGUUGCGAAGGCAGCAUACCGGCGCUCAACUGACGCUGAGGCACGAAAGCGUGGGGAUCGAACAGGAUUAGAUACCUUAGUAGUC
RNAcentral lists this ribosomal RNA (460 nucleotides) under uncultured bacterium. RNAcentral's name for it is "partial 16S ribosomal RNA". It matches the Rfam family "Bacterial small subunit ribosomal RNA", at positions 338 to 795 of the family's 1533-position model. The record is from RNAcentral.